UUCGACAUAGCUGCAAAUACCAAGAACCCCAAGUAGAUUUUGCAGUGUAUAAGGGAGAGCUCAACCUUUUUAAAUUCACCGAGCAACGUUUCAGACUCAGGCUUCCACAGACCCACUGUCCAAAGCAACAUGAACCGUCUGUUUGGAGUGGACCUUCUGGUGGUUGCUGCAAUCGUAAUUGCUUUGAUCGUCAUGGUUCCGAAUGAAGCUUCUUGCCUCGCCGGCUCUAUUGGAGGAAUCAAAGCUCCGGAUAUGACGGGUAAGAAGUGAAUAAUAUCGCAUCCUGAAUCAAAAUAUUCCACCCCUCUCAUGCCCUACAUGACCUCUACGCCUGGAAUAAAAUGCCUC
Molecule: non-coding RNA, 348 nt
Organism: Dermacentor andersoni
Lineage: Eukaryota; Metazoa; Arthropoda; Arachnida; Ixodida; Ixodidae
Source: RefSeq, a predicted model, not a curated record